Non-coding RNA from Apis mellifera (honey bee), 95 nucleotides. NCBI's taxonomy places the organism in Eukaryota, Metazoa, Arthropoda, Insecta, Hymenoptera, Apidae. The record is from RefSeq and is marked provisional.
UAUGAGACGAAACGAGACAGAGAUAGAACGAGAGACAAUUUUAUCUCUAUCAUAUAACGCAACGUCGUUCUAUCUUCGCCUCGCUUCAUCUAACG